Non-coding RNA from Chrysemys picta bellii (western painted turtle), 2383 nucleotides. The record is from RefSeq and is a predicted model, not a curated record. Lineage: Eukaryota; Metazoa; Chordata; Testudines; Emydidae.
UUGGAUUUUUGCUGAAAACCUGUAAUGAUUCUCCAGGGAAAAAAUCCUUUCCUAACCAAACUAGUCAUUUCCUAGGCCCUCCCACCAUGCGUGGCAGAUUUCUGUCUUGCAUCGUGCACUGUGGACUUUGACAUUGGCUUCAUAUUUCAGCACUAGGAAGCGUUCGGGGCACAAAUGGCUUCUCCUCAUCCCUCAGAUGGACUCCAUCAGUUCCAGCAUGGAAUUCUCAAAGACCCUCAGUGCUUCAGAAUUGCCCCUUUGGCUGCUCUGCUGUGCCAGAUGCGGGCGUUCAUGUGUCUGCACUGGAACAUUGCUGAUAACACAGAGAUUGCUUCUAAGGCAAGAAGGGACCACUGUGAUCAUCUAGUCUGACUUCCUGUGUAACACAGGCCAUAAAACUUCCCCCAAACGAUUCCUGUUUGAACUAGAGCAGAUUUUAAGAAAAACCCCAUCUUGAUUUAAAACUUGCCAGUGAGAGAGAAUCCAGCACAAUCAUUGACACUCUUGCAGCGAGUAAUGUUGACUGCAAAUGAGGCUUCAGAGUUCUGAACAACAUAAUCACGGAUAAACGGACUACACUGACCACUCGUCAUGUGGCGGAUCUACUUUUUAUUUCAAUCGUUGGCCCUCCCUACACUGAGUGGAAUCCUGCUGCAUAUGUUAAAUCAUGGUUGAGCAAGGGACGUUGGGCAGCCCAUUCACAUGAGGGCAUGGCACGAUGAGGGCAUGGCACAAUGAGAGCAAGCAAAGCAACCGGAGCAGGCUUACUACGCACCGCUGUGGAAGUGUCUUUGAUUUGGUAAGUUGCUGUCAUAAAUUUGAAAAUUACUUUAUUGAACUGACUAAUUGAAUUAGCUAUUUGAAUGACUAUCAAUUGAUGUAACUAAUAUUGUAGUUAGGUAGCUAUUGAGACCCUAAGGUUUUUGUGUUGAUGGUCAUGGAACAUGGCACAAGAGCCUCCCUUAACCUUUUUUAUACACACAAGGGUUAGCUACAAUUACAACCCAGGGCCUUUGUUCUCCUUGCUAGCAUCCCAUCUGGUUAAGCUGCACUUUCUGAAGGGAUGUCAGUAGCACUGGGACUGUUUGGCUCUGCACUGCUGCUACUAAUUGAGACCUUUGCUUGAUAGGCUGAAUCUUGCCAUCUGUUUGUACAGAUAUUUCUUAUCGGAUAUGUAAAGGUCAUCCUACAGGAGAAACAAACAAAACCUACUCCUUGGCAGUGAACUACUUGAGGGGAGUACAGGUCAAACAAAUGAACUGUCCACCUCCUGCAUUCCAUUUCUUCUAAUCAUCAAGACAAGCAGCCUCCCUACCAGUAUCCACAGAACUGUGAUUGGAAGGGACAAAUGCAGCUUCUUCUCUGUUACAAAUUUGUCCAGUUUCUGCAGUUACUACAGUUUUGGAGGUUUAGGAAGGACAUUAGUUUAUGACCUGCAAAUCUGACCCACCAUGCCCCUCCUGGAGAUAUUAAAUCCAAUGCUGGUUGGGAUUAGUGCUUCCCUGCUGUGGGAACACAACAUACCAUCUUCCCUCAAAUACACAGCAGUUAGGCUUCUGCUCAAGAAACCAUUUCAAUUUUGUGAGUUAUCACCCUAUCUCUAAUCUUCCCUUCCACUUGAGAAGGAAGAUGGAGUUUAGACAACUUUAAGGUAAUCUGGAGCCUUCAUUGUGACACCCUGACACCCCAAUAUUGACCACUGUCAUGUAAUUAGGAUAUGUUUUGUACAAAGCAUGUCUUGUGAGUUAUCAUUCUAAAAGUCUUGAUCUGAUAAACAUUAAUAUCUACGUGGAUUGUAUGUGUUAUCGUUGUAUGUGAAGUUAUGAAGGUUGGCUAUGUAUGUGUUACUGAAACAUGUUGUGAGGUUGAAAACCUCCACAAGCAGCCUUUCAGGUACAACAGUAAAAAGGCCAAACAAUGUUAAUGGCUUAUUGAGGAAAUGCACAAAGGACAAGGAUUACUCUGGGAACUAUGUACAAUAGAAACCUCUCAGCGACAGCACUACACAAUGGGAACUAUAUGACACAGCUCUCAGCAAAAGAGCUUUCCAGCAAGUGGGAAGAAGAUACAAAAGGAGGAAAAUGAUAACAUGAGGGGACCUCACUCUUUUUGCAACACCACACCUGGAAACACCUGAGGAAUACAGACUGAACAAGGGGGAAGUGAUGGUCCCAGGCUAAGGGAUUGCUAGCCUAUGUAUGAAAACCUGGGAAAGCCAAAGCAACUUGUGCCUUAAGAAUCUGUCAACCUGUUUAUCACUCAGGGUGAGAAUUUGCUUAAGUAUAUCCUAUCUAUCUACUGUGCUAAACUCCAUUUGCUGAUUUUGUUUAUUUACUAAGGUAAUCUACUUUGUUCUGUUUGUUCUCUCUUAUAACCACUUAAA